GUCGCUUGGCAAAAGUCCUCGACAACCUCAUCUUUUCGGAGUUGGGGCUCGCGUCAAGGAACACUGUGCCUAACGAGGGGAUGUGGCUGGCUUGCUAGCCGCACCCCGAGUUGCAAUUCUAUAUAAUCCACACGACUCUCGGCAACGGAUAUCUCGGCUCUCGCAUCGAUGAAGAACGUAGCGAAAUGCGAUACCUGGUGUGAAUUGCAGAAUCCCGCGAACCAUCGAGUCUUUGAACGCAAGUUGCGCCCGAGGCCUCUUGGCCGAGGGCACGCCUGCCUGGGCGUCACGCCAAACACGCUCCCACCCAACUAACUUGGGGUGGGACGCGGCAUGUGGCUCCUCGUCCCGCAAGGGGCGGUGGGCCAAAGAUCCGGCUGCCGGCCUAUCGUGCCGGACACAGCGCGUGGUAGGCGACCUCGCUUUACUAAACGCAGUGCCUCUGGCGCGUAGCCGACGCGAUGGCCCCAAUGGACCCUUUUAACGGAGUGCAUGACGCUUCGACCGCGACCCCAGGUCAGGCGGGACUACCCGCUGAA
This 539-nucleotide ribosomal RNA is filed under the name embryophyte environmental sample. RNAcentral describes it as "eukaryotic LSU rRNA". The stretch from base 134 to 289 matches the Rfam family "5.8S ribosomal RNA". Lineage: Eukaryota; Viridiplantae; Streptophyta. The record is from RNAcentral.